GAAAAUGGGAAAAGGGUUCUUGUACAUCUGGAUAUAAACAUGGCAUCAGUCAUCAUCUCAAGAGGAUGGAGAGGAUGAACUCGAGAGCUCCAGAUUAGAGGCUCCAUUGUCCUUGUUCAGUGACAAGCAGAUCAAGGACAUCACACCAAAUCAAGAGUAUCUAAGACACAAUUAAACAAUACCAACUGUACCAACUCCAUGUACCAAUACCAACUCCAUUUCAACUGGGGAUCCUGGUUCAUAUGCUGUGGACAUAAUUAGACUCCAAGCUCCAUGAGCCUACUCUUUCUGGGCCUUGAAAAAGGGAGUGUUAUAGCUGGCGAUGCAGGCCUGAGCCAUUGGAUUUAAACAAAAAUAUCGUAAUUUGUGUUCUGAAGAUGAAUGAAGGUCUUACGGGUGUGGAACGACAUUAGGGGCAGGAAUAAUUUGUUCCAUAAUUUCAACAUUCAUGCACAAAGGAGGCCAGCAUGCUAUGGCAAAUGGAGGUCUUGUUAUUUAGGGCCAGAUUUACUAAACAGGGCAAAUUAGCGUUAGAGCUUAAUUCCAUAAACAUGCCGAUAGGGAAAAUUCUGCGGCUGAUUUACUGACAAGGCACACCUUAAAGAACAGAUAGAUCAUUUUCAUAAUGAUCUCCGCCUUCUCAGUGCUAAUUCCUCACUGCAUCCCUUUAGUAAAUCCUGACAGUAGUUUUUUUUAAUGGCUGGCUUAAGCUGUUAGUAAUUCUGGCCCUUAGUCUUAUAUGUUAAAACACUGACCUAUAUAUAUAUAUAUAUAUAUAUAUAUAUGUGUGUGUGUGUGUGUGU
Molecule: long non-coding RNA, 803 nt
Organism: Ctenopharyngodon idella (grass carp)
Lineage: Eukaryota; Metazoa; Chordata; Actinopteri; Cypriniformes; Xenocyprididae
Exons: 5
Source: RefSeq, a predicted model, not a curated record